CAUAUUUUGCAACUCAAUAAUAAUUUCAUUAAAAGAAGAAUAACAAAGGAGAGAGUAGUAGUAGAAUUCAAUUAAAUAAUUUUAACAAGGAGUGUGCGGAUAUGAUUUUCUUAGAGAGAUUGUUGAUUAUUAUUGCGUCACAUCACACAAAUUGUUUCCACCUUUCCAAUGUUAAUUGCGCAGAAUUUUAUAGUAUAACUUUUCGUGCAAACAAGGUUGUUUGACUUUAUAUUUGUCAAGAUAAGAAGAUCGUUGACUAUAAAUUAUAUGGAGUAUAUAUAAAGGGUAAAGCUGUACAAGAAAAUAAGACUCAAAAGCCAACAAAAUAUGGGGAAUUUUUGCUCUGGACAUGAAAAGAGAAGAGAUGAUAAAAUAAACAAGAAAAAUGGUGGAUUUAAAGCCAUGCAAGGUGGUAACAUGGUUUUUAUGACUGAUGCUAAUCCUGGAGGGGGUCAUCAUGGACAUGAUGGAGGUGGAGGUGGUGGCGGAUGUGGAGGUGGUGGUGGAGGUGGCGGAGGGUGUGGAGGUGGAGGUGGUGGCGGAGGGUGUUGAGGUGGCGUUGGAGGCUUCUGAGAUAUGGUUGGCGGUAUUUUGUUGGAUUGUAUUUACUUAGUUGACAUGCCACCUUAUAUAGUCAUAUUUUGUAAAUAUUUGGUAACCUUAUAUAGUUAAUUAUACCUCUUUAUCUUAUGUGAAAUAAACCAUGUUGUACUUCUAUUCAAAUUGAUGUUAUAUCAUAGUUUUAUAAGUUUUUAUAUUUGGAUAGUGAAAGUAUGUUAAUUUGUACAACAUAAUUUUGAAUGAAAUUUAUGUUUUGCAAAAUUAGAUUAAAAUUGAAUUUAAAUUUGAUUCUUAAGGUCUCAGAUUCUCUCUGAUGCCAAUUUAAAGGGUUAGUUUAGCUUCUUCAAAAAAAAAAAUUAAAUUCAAAUAUUCAAGGGCGCUUGAAUGAGAUUAUGUUAGUCUUUUUCAAUUGAACCAGAUAUCUUGUGUUCAAAUAGCCUACUUCCUACUAUGUUUAAAAAAGUUCUAUAACAAAUGCUUUUUAUAGCAAAAAUUUAAUCUACGAAACUUUCACGACUACAUAAACACAUCUUUAUUUUUGACAACUGCAUGUUUGAUAAGUGGGUUUUAUUUAUUUAUUUAUUGCCAAGGCAUUUUCCCAUUCGUGAAACAUUCGGAAGAUUUCUCUCGUGAAUAUAGCAUUCUCCUAGUUCUAUAUAUUCUCUCAACUAUAUCAUUUUGUUGUGAUGAUCUUGAACUUUCCAAAAGACAGAAAAUGCCACGAGUUGCACGGAAUUUAUUGAACUCCUAUGAAGUGAAUUUACCUCCUUGAUUAGAUCUCAAAUUAUUUGUGAUUGUAAACUUAACUCAGUUGGUAGGAACAAUGUAUAAUAUAUGUAAGAUUCGGUGUUUGAAUCCCGACCACCACAAAAAAUAUCUCAAAUUAUUUUUAACUCGUUAUAUCAGAAAUGGCAAAAUGGAUCAACUCGUUAUAUUUAGCUCCGCAUUACAAUUAACUUGAAAAAGAUAUGGCGAGGCGGACCAAUAUGUGUGGGUUGUCCCGUAUAACAAAAAAAAAAACUUCCUAAAAAAACAUAAACUAUUCCCAUUUUUUUUUUACAAUUUAUUAUUACAAAAGAAAAUUGUUAUUAUAAGAAAUUGGCAGUUUGAUAAGUUUGUGGUAAAAACAUCAAUGACUCAAUGUCAUUCGCAACAACAUAGUUAACAAAUGAAACCUCAUCAGCAAUCUAACAACAUAAAUACAAUAAAUAUAAUUAACAGAAUCAAACAAACAAUGUCACUAGUAUAAAUUAAGCAACAUUUAACAAAUCUCAAAAUAAAUCCCCCAUCAUACAAAAAAAACCAACCAACAUUCAAAGAAAUUGCAAAAUAAAUCGUCAGUUUGGGGCACCUAUUAUUACUUACUAAUAUAGUAAUAAUUUUUACUUUUGAGGAGCCCACAUGCCAACCUGCUUGCCCCAUUUUUACAACAGGAUAAACGGUGCAGAUCAAUUAAAAAAGGUGGACUCAAAACAUCGACCCACUCUAUCUUAAAUAGUGGGUUAAAUGGGUCAGUCAAACGUACUAUAUAUGUUUUUCCACCCCUAUUAACAUUAGAGGUGGGGGUUAUUUAUCAUAAGAAACAAAGGGGAACUUCGAGUGCAACGACGAAAGAUAAAAAUGCUUAAUAAUAAGGUAAAAGAGUUCACAUCUGGGUGAAAGUGAGGAAAGUUAAAAGAGAUAAAAUAAUGUUAAAUUGAAAUGAAGUUUUUUUUUUUUUUUUUUUUUGUCAAUUUAAUAACAAAAUAAGGUAGAUUGGAGUUUAGUUAAAAACUAAAGGGUGUGUUUAGAGCUCUCAAACGGAAAUUGCUCUUUAAGCUUCAAUAAUUGCUCUCCCACGCCCCAAAAUUAACUAAAUACCAUAUACGAUAAUUAACUGUAGUUUGCUAUCCAAAUGUAGUUAAUUGUCGUUAUGUUUGUGAUAGUUAACUACCAUUACAUUCUGUCUUAUAUUAGCGCAACAACUCACUUCCAGACUUCUACAAAGAAAACAAUGCAUGUAAAGCAAUGUAAAAUGUUGAAUGAUGAUGAAAGUGAAGGUUUUCCAAGAUGUUGUUAUAAACUUGAUAUAGAUGAUUUGUUGAUGACAUGUCAUCUUACGUUAUUCUUAGCAUGUUUUUCAGUUAUUUUUAAUAGGUUUUAGCUGCAAAAAGGAGGAGUAUUAGAACAAUUGUCUAUGAUUUUGGAACUUUUGUAAUGUUUUCUAUAUUUGAGUAUAUAAUUUUAGUAAUGUUGAUGUUCUGGAUGAUGCCUCUGAUGUUCCAAAAUGUCCAAUUAUGCAAUAAUUUUUAGAUAUUCUUUUGAAGUAAUGUUGAAGUUUGUUACUUUCUUUCAAGAUGAGUUCUUGUGUUAAAAUGAAAGAAGGUAUGACUGUGUGGUAUCUCUCUACCUUGUACGUAUGGCCUCAGUUUGUUUUAGCCAAAAAUUUGUAAAAGGGGGAGAUUGUUGGGUAUUUGAUUAUUGACUUCAUUGUUGGUAAAACAAAUACUCAUGUAUGAUGUUGGAUACAAUGUUCUAACAUCUUGACACAGUUCAGUGUGUGGCUUGAUUUCGUGAACUGUAUCUUUUUUAAGGAAACCACACCUUAUUUCUUGUUCACCAAGUAACAUAUUUUUGUCCAGGAUCAGUUGGAUGAUUUGUUCCUAAAGUAUAGACAAUAUUUUAGGAUUCCUUGGUGAUGUUGUUUGGCGGUUCCUAAAUAUGUUCCUACUUUUUAGGUGUUGAUAUAUUUUUUAAGUGAGAUCACUGAAGAUUCUAUGAAGAUUUUAUUCAUGUGACUUAUGGUCCAAGAGACUUGUGUUUCCAGAAGAAAAUAUUUUUCAGAUGGAUAUUUUUAUUUGUGAAAUAUAUUUUAAAAGAGAUUUUGGAAGAUAUAUUUCUGAAGAAUAUUUGUUUCAAUAUAUUUCUGAAAAAAAUAUUUGAUACAAAUAUAUGUUUAGCCUAUGAGGAAAAAGCCCAUGCUGCUGAAUGGCUAUACGAGGAAGACUCAUACCAUAGUUUUAUUUACUAAUUCAAUAGUUUUGAAUUGAGUCUUUUAGGGUUUCGACUUGUGCUUUAUUUUUGAGCCUCUCUUUGUAUCACCUUGAUGCAUUGAGAAAGACCUUUAGUUGAGUUGUAAUGGAUCAAAACCCACGUUUUAUAUAAGAGUCAUAAUUAGGGUUUUGUGUCCUUGUUAUUUGUGUUUCACUCGUAAGCUUUUAAGCAAGAGUGGAUUUUAUUGGAGUGUGUCUCCAUUUUGAUUGUAUUUGUUUAAAUUACAGGGGUUCUGAGAUGGGAUCUCAGAUCUAGGAGUUCCUAUGUUGAAGUCAAUACGGGUAAGUCCUAGGUCUAGAGUUGUAAACGAGAGAUUUGCUGAUAACUUAGAAUAAGGACUACACUAGUGGAUUUCCUUCCUGGCUUGGUAGCCCCUAGAUGUAGGUGAUGUUGCACCGAACUGGGUUAACAAACCUUCUGUGUCUUUUUACUUUUAUGUCCUUUAUAUUUCCAUUGUUGUGUUUGUUUUCUACUAGCUCGAUGUUGAAACAUCUUACUCAACAUUCUGUUUGAGUCUGAUGUUGAAACAUCAUAUAAAACAUCAGCAAACUAGCCCACCAGAAUUUCAGUUUGUAUCUAGAUUGAUCUGCAAUUAUUAUAUUGAUGCAUUCCUUGUCAAUCAAAAUUUCAUAUGAAGAGCACAUUUUUUAGUAUAAAACCUUGCAAAGAAACAAUAUGUCUUUUUUUUCUUUUUUGUGUGUGAAAAAAGCAAAAAUUUUGAUCUACAUUACAUAUCACUUUUAAAUAAAAAUGAUAAUAUUGAAAUAUGGGUCUGGCUGCCUCAACAUAACCCAUAAUUUUUUUGGUUGAACUCAAUUUUUACAUGAAAGAUGCUCAAUAAGCCAACAAAAUGCUCACAUGUCCCUCAAAAUUAAAAAAAAAAAAAACCUCUAUGCUUCUAACUUCUGAUCGCUCUAGUUCAGGAGCAAAGACUCGAUCUCCAUAGAUUUCAUUUAACCUUGGAUCAAAAGUUAUGAAUCGAGAUCAGAUCGAGAGUUAAAAUUUGAUCCAUUCAUGCUUCAGACUUAGACAUAAUUUACAGUACCAAACACGUAAUUCAUUAACCAUUCAUAUUUUCAAGAACAAUUAACAACACUCAUAAUCGAACAAUAAUUUUUGACAAUCAUGAUUCAACAAUACACAAAAACUUAUAAUUCACCAUCAAUAAUUCAACAUUAAUAUGGUUUAGAAACAAGAUGUUCAACCAUAACUAUAAGUAAAGCACAAAACAAAAUUAAAAACUAAAUUAUAAUUUAAAAACAUCAAAAGAUUGCAUUGAAAUUGAAGGAAUUAAUGUGCUGAGUAGUUUCAGAGUUCAGGACGGAUAACGUUCAAGUCUUAACUUUUGAUAAAUAACAAUCCAUGUUUAAAAAAAAUGUAAAACAACAAUGUAAUCAGUUUAAAAGAUGUAAUUCAUAUUCUUUGAUGUCAUAUGAGUGAAGAAAUCAUUAUGCAAUUAUGUAAUGAUAAUUAGAGUUUAGGGAGGUUGUGUAGCACAUGCUUGGUUGCUUGAUAUUUAAAUAGAAUUGCAGUUCGGGUCAUAACCUCAAAACUUGAACGAGUAGGAGUUAUAACCAAGAGAUCGAAUUGUAACUUCCAAAAAAGGUAUUUUUUUGGGUUUCGAGGGGUGUAUGAGCAAAUGAAGGGGCCUAUUGAGAUUUUUUUUUACAUCCCUUAUAAGAAGUGAUUGGUCAAUUCCAUCCCAUCUAUAUGUGUUGGCUCGUCAGGCUAGGGCUAGGCCGAGUUAGCCCAUUAGCAACUCUCGGGUGUGUGAGUGUUACUUAAAAAGGCUGGAGGAGAUUAAUGUAUUUUUCUCAAAAACAAUUAAGGCUUAAAUAUGCAAAUGGUAUUUGCAAAUUUCAAGGGUUUUGAUUUUAGUCUUGUAUUUUUUUUUUAAUGGCAAAAUAUAUAUAUAUAUAUAUAUAUAUAUAUAUAAAAGAGAGAAUUGUACAAGAUACAUCAAAACAUCUGUCAAGUGACGCACCUGAAAACCACCAAAGGAUAAACCCCAAGGGCCACACAAAAAAACCAUCCAAAUACGGAAAAAAAAAAAAAAAGGAAAAACUACACAAAGAGAAAGCUACACCAAAAGAGAGAAACAAAAAGUAACAAUCUUCACCCAACAAAAAUUUGUCGUGACAGAGACAAAAAAGCAAAGAAACAACCGCAUAAGCAGGCCAGGAAAGAGGAUACAGAAGCCCCCACCCAAACCCCCAAGCGAACCGAGGCAAACCGCCACCAAAACCCUAUCGAUGCCAACAUAGGACGGGCUGCACCUCCAACUCAUGAUAAGUGCAUGAACUAGCAUGACACUUGGCAAGGAACCGCUUCCAAGCUAAGAGUUUCACUCUAUACACCACAGGCUCCUCACGGAGAGUGCCACUAGAGAAAAUAAGGCGUUCCGAGACGUCCAGAUGGUCCAAAUAACAACAUGUCAAACCAGAAGAAGACCUAAUCUAACUCUCUUCCCCCUCUAAUGCCCGUGAAGGCAUGCAAAUAUAUGAUCUUUUGUUUUGGUUCUUGGAGUUUUAUUUUAGUCUCUCUAAAAUUUAUUCAUAUUAAAAUUGAUGCAUAUAAUAUUCAUUUUAGUCCUUAUUUUAAGGGAUUAAAAUCAAAUAUUCUACAUAUUACAAUGACCAAAUCCAAUAUGAAUCAAUUUUCCAAGGAUUACCAUGACCAAAUCCAAUAUGAAUCAAUUUAGAAGGACUAACACUAAAACGAAAUUUUUACUAGACUAUUAAACUUUUAUUUAACUCAACUUUUAAACUUCUAUUUUUGCUUCAACGCUCACGUCUUCAGAUCUGCAACGUGGAUGACGCCAAAGUGAUUGAUUUGAUUUAUACCAUAUCGAAGCUGAUUUGGCAAUUUGAACCAAACAAAUACCUGAACAAAACAAGAAAGACAGACAACGCCGCACAAAGACGACGAAAAAACCAAGGUCGCACUAAGACGGAGAAAUCACAAAAUGAAAACGAAAUAGAUGUGAAAAUCACUUAUUUCAAUAAAGGAAAAGAGAAAAACUAGUUAGAGGAGUGAUUUUGGGUAAAAAAAUUGACCUUAAAUCACUCAUCUUUAAUGGAUGAAGGAGAAGAAACUAGAGUUUUUGUGACGUCUCAAAGAGAGGAAAGAGAGAGAACAAAGAGAAACUCUUGUGACUCCGAACAUCACGCUUUCUUGUCAAUUAAUAAUCGUAUUAAUUAGAAUUGGAAUGAGUUUUACAAAAUUUAUAUUGAAACUUAUUUUUUUUGACAAUAUCCAUUUUUUAAUAGUAGAACUCUAUUAAAUAAUUUUAACAAAAGAUUCUCGUGAGCUUAAUUCGGUUGAUAUAAAUAAUGUAUAAUAUAUACAAGGUUAGUGGUUCAAAGAAGAGCUUUAUCACAAAAUACAUUUAACAAAGGAGUGUGUGGAUAUGAUUGUUUUGGGAAUGGUGCGAAUACGGUGCAUACGAAACUUCAUGGAUGAGCAAUAGUUGCUCACUGAUUUGAUAUCUUCUAUGUACUAUAUAGUACCUAUUUUGUCGGUUUCUAAGAAGUAAGUUGACCUCUUAGCACCUUUUAUUGCUAAUUCAGUGAACUUUAUCGUCGAUGGUAUGUAUGAGACAUGAUCAUUAUAUAUUUUUUAAGGAGACAUGAUCAUUAUUAUUAUUUCUACAAAAGGGUGCUGUAUUUUUGUUAUUAUUUUUAAUCUAGUGUUAGUGCUCGUUUAUUUUAAUCUCCCAUUUUUUUCUAGUAAAAUAAAUGAGAAGAUAUGCUGCAUGUAUGAAGUUCACUUAUUUAUUAUUAAUUUUUUUAAGGGAAAAAAAAAAUUGUGUAUGCCACGUAUCAAUGACCACUUAAAAUGUGUCACAUAUCAAUGUUAUUUUAUAAAUGUUUUAUUCGAUAUACAUUUUUUAAAUGGUAUGCCACAUGACACAUCCUAAUUAAUCAAUGGUAUAUAUCUUUGAUACUUUAAUGGUGCACAAGUGUUAUCCGUCUUAGAGUGAUGGUUGAAUAUUAUUAUUAAUUGCGCAUAACUUAUAAGACUUUUCGUGAAAACAAGGUCGUUUGACUGAAGUUCCAAGGAGGUUAAUUGACUAUAAAUUAUUAGUUAUAUAGGUGUAUAUAAAGGGUAAAGUUGUACAGGAAAAUAAGACUCAAAAGCCAACAACAUAUAUACAGAAAUGGGAAAUUUUUGCUCUAGAUAUUGUGGAGGUAAAGGUGGAGGUGUAGGUGAAGGUGGAGAUGGAAUAGGUAACAUUGUGACUGAUGCUAAUCCUGGAGGGGGUCAUCAUGGAGGGGGUCAUCAUGGACAUGGUCAUCAUGGAGGGGGUCAUCAUGGAGGUCAUCAUGGACAUGGUCAUCAUGGAGGGGGUCAUCAUGGAGAUGGUGGUGGAGGUGGUGGCGGUGGGUGUUGAGGUGGUGGUGGAGGCUUCUGAGAUAUGGUUGGAGGUAUUCUAUUUUGUUGGAUUGUAUUUACUUACUUAUUUGACAUGCCACCUUAAUUAUAUCUUAUGUGAAAUAAAUCUUGUUGUACUUCUAUUCAAAUUGAUGUUAUAUCAUAUUUUUAUAUGUUUCUAAAUUUGGAUAGUGAAUGUAUGCUUUAGUAUGUUGUACUUUUUGAAUAAAAGUUGUUUUUGCCAUUUGAUUCGAUUUAAUUUGAAUUCCAAUAUCUGCUUUUAGCAAAAUGAUGUGGGUUUGGUCGACUUCCGUCCCUGCUCGACGGGUGGGUCUUGCAGUCAAACUCCCUUCUACCUUUGCACUCGAGGGCCAAUCUUCAUCUUACCCGAGGAAAACUUUACAAUAGGUUCCACUCCAAGAAAAUGGUUUCGAUGCUAUGUUGUUUAUUCAUAUUGUUUAGUCACAAACUUAAUGUGACAUUUAAUAGAAUAAAUUUUGAUUGCUGUUGUUGUAUCCUGUCACUUAAUCAUAAUCUUCUGAUCAUAUUUCUAGUGUAAAACAUUUUGUAAUGAUAUAAAAAUUCAACUCCAAAAGUAAACAGAGUGGACCUACUAGAAAAGGUGGACUCAAAACCUUGACUUAGUCCGUCUAAAACAGCGAGUUAAAUUAAUUGGAUCAACAAACUAUAUUUGUUUUGUCACUCCUAUUAACAUUAGACGCGUGGGUUAUUCAUAGUGGCGGAGCCAGAAAUUUUAUCGAAUAUGAAUAAAAUUUUGAUUGUAAAUUCACAUAUGACAAUAUAUAAAUAGUUAUAAAUUGAAGUAAGAGAGACUCGUCAUUUUUUCGAUAAAAGUAUAAUUUGAAAUAAGAGAGAGAUGAAACAUAACUUGUCAAUAGUGUGCUAAAUUAAAUUAGGAGUAAAUGCCCUUUCCAAGACCUCUUUGCGGUGAAUGUUCGAAUAAUAUCAACAUUAUCAAGUGCCUUGAAUAUCUCUCGCUCGGUGUAACAUAUCAUCAAGUUAUUGAAACACACAUCGUUGAUCUUGUUGGUAACAAUUAUUUCUCACGAGCUUAUAAGAUUAUUUUACUAGCUUAUUGGCAAAGCUUGAUAACCCGUGGAGUACUUCCAACUUUUGUUGAUGUUGGUAAUAGCUUUAAGAUACCCAUUUUGUUAUUGUAGAUCCACAAAUUAAAAAUUAAAUUCUAAUUUAUUAUGCUCUGUUGUAGAAGUGAUUGUAAGUUUUUUUAGAUAUGAAGUGAUUGUAAGUUGUAACUUGAUUAUGUCAUUUUAUUUAAUAAGCUAUUAUGAAUAGUGAUUCAUGAGACAUCCCAACGUCUAGGUGAAGCCUUAAUAACCAUCCUAUAUUGUUUAUAUUAAUAACCUCUCCGUAUUUAUACAAGUUUUGAGGUCAUUAAAAAAUGAUAAACCAAAUUAAAAGUGAAUAAGAGCACGCCACGUUUCAAGGGACACAUAGCAUUCUAUUCUUCUUUUUUUUUUUUUUUGAAGGAACAGCAUUCUAUUCUUCUUGUAAGUAGGAGGUGUACACUUAUGGUAACCUUAGAAAUCAUGAGUCAAAAGUUAUUGAGAGUGGCAAGUCCUUGUUGCUCCAAUGAAAAAGUUAACAUAAAUGUGGUGUAAAUAAUUUAUAGCUCUUACAAAGUGUAAAUCACUUAUACCAAAAAAGUUAUAUUUCUUUAUUAUUCACAGUGAAUAAUAAAGAUUGUUGUUAUGGUUCAACCACAUGCUUCCAACGUAAAUGAAAUAGAAGCAGGAGGUGAAAUAAAUUGAUAGAUUUCUUAAUUAACAAUGAAGAAAGACAUAUUAUAUUUCUAUACCAACUAUAAAGUGAUGAACUAUGAAGUGUACCAAAAAUAAUGUAGCGUGAAUUAUUUCUAUACCAACUAUAUAAUAUCUAAUGUAUCUACUAGUAGUAUAAUAUGUAGAACAUAUAUGUAUUUAGAAUGUUGAUCCUUAAAACACAUGUAUGUGUAUAUAAAAUAGUAAUAAGAUAUAUCUUUGCAUUUGUCAAUCAUCAGUUAGAAUAUAUAAUAUAGAAAACUAUAUAUGUAUGUGAGCAAAGCAACUUAUAUAUUAUAAUCGUCAUUAUUUUUAUAAAUAAUUAUGUUAUACUUUAUAAUUUGGUUAGUACAAACAAAGUUAAAUUAAAUUUAAAAUAAAAUUUGCCCCAAAAUAUUGAAGAAAGAAUUGAAAACUCAAGGGUAAAAUUGGAAUUUCAUGUAUGACAGUGAUUGCCACGUCAUCAAAUUAGUGACAUGACAGUGAUUAAGUGGAGAGAGGGACGAAAUUUUAAAUGAUUAAACAAUGCAAGGGUAAAUUGCCAAGAUUAGCGAUUACAUGGACCAAUAUUUAAACGACCCCUAAUUGCAAUGAUGAAAUACAUAUUUAAGCAUUUUUAAAAAUGAUCUCCUUAUAGUUACUUACGUUUUGUACGUAGGUAAAAGUGAAAAACGUGCAGUGACAACCAUUUGACAAUGACAGACAUAUUUAACUACGAAAAUUUGGCCUAUAGUAACGGAUUUUGGCCAUACUAUAAGUCAAAUCGUUUGUAAAUUUCUCGUAACGAUACAAAGAAAAUAUGUGUUGAACUCGGGCGUGUGCCCAAGCUCGUCGGACGGUAAAUCUGCCCAUGAUUAUUUAUUAGGAGAAAAAAAGGGAAACUUAGAGUUCAACAACAAAGAUAAAAAUGCUUAAUAACAAAGUAAAAAAAAUUAUGGUAAUCUGCGUGAAAGUGAGGGGAGUUAAAGAGAUAAAAUGGUGUUAAAUUGGAAUGGAGUUUUUUUGUCAAUUUAAUAACAAAAUUAGGGAGAAUGGAGUUUAGUUAAAAAAACUAAAGGGUGUGUUUACGGCUAUAAUAAAAAGAAAAUUGCACUUUAAGCUUCAAUAAUUGCUCUUCUAUGCCCCAAAAUUACUUAAAUACCCUCAACGACAAUUACCUAUAUGUAGUUCAUCGUCGUUGUGCGAGCGACAGUUAACUAUUGUUGUGUUCUUCCUUAUACCAACAAAGCAAACAAUGCAUGUAAAAUAUUAUAAAAUGUUGAAUGAUGAUGAAAGUGAAAAUGAUCUAAGACGUUGUUAUAAACUUGAUCUAACUGACAUGACAAUUGACAUAUUUCUAUUGACAGGGCAACUUGAUCAAGUUUAAAACAGCUUCUUCGUGUUCAGAUCCGCCGGAUAGGUAUUUAUAAGAUGCGUGAAGAUGAAAGGCAAGAUAUUUAUGAACAUGAUCCCGCUAUUGAUGGUAAAGAGGAAAUGUUUUAACGAGAUCCACUAAUAUGAGAUAAAAUGUUGUUAAAGUUUUACAAAUGAUUUGUACUUGUUUACACUUUGAGAACUCUAAGAGUGGUAAACUCUUUUUCGGGAACUUCUACGGUACACCUCACAAAUUAAGGUGUACUGGUACUCCUGCUUCAAAUAUUUACAAUUUAACGAUUAUUUUAUGAAAUAAAGAGUUAUUUAUCAAUAUUUAUAUUUUAUAAUACAUCGUUUUAUAAGAAUAAACAUCAUUUCAUUGUUUAUAAGAAUAUAUUAAAUUUUUAACAUUUUCUCAUAAAAAAUAAUAAAUAUUCUUUGUUAUAUGUAACAAAAAUUCAAAAAAUGUAAAUUUUAUUUCGUCGACACUUUCGGUAACUAAGAUAUAAUUAUUGUAAUAGUUAAUGAUAGAAAACAAUUCUUUUUCUUUGAAAAAACAACUCGUUUCAAUAUGAAUUUGAUGAUUUGGUGUACCGGAACACUCAAAUUUUUUAGUGUAGCAUAGAAUUUGCCAUUAACUUCUGAUACUUAAGAAAAUUCUAAGAAACUAAGUUUGUAAAAUAUUUCUAAGUGUUUGAAGGCUUUUGAAUUUGACAGAGGUUUGACUCUUAUAAAUUUUUUCAAAGUGUUAUGUAUUCUUCAAACUGCUCAAAUCUUUAAAUUGGAGAGAAAAAUGUAGUUGUUGUUUUUAAGUUAGACAGCUCAUCAUAAUCGUCCUUGAGUAGCUUGAUCAAAUUUUGAAAAAUUUACCUCAAUUGGAUAACGUCGUUGAAUAGUACUUGAAAAAAAAAUCCUUUGCUUUAUAUUGAAUGAUCAGUUCAUUCUGUCUUUUUUUUCUUCUUCUUUUCUGCACGUGAUAAAUAGCAGACAAACUAUACUGUCAGCGCUCAAAAGAGACCUUCCAUAAGAAGAAGACAAAACUGGUCAGAGCCACCCAGACUGCUGGCAACAUUAGAACUUGUUUCCUUCCGAGGCUGAAACCAUUAAAGCCUAUUUUCAUCAAAGUAUUUAAGACACCUUCUAAUCAGAGAGUUAACUUUCUGUUGACGUUUAUUCAAAUGUCUUUUAAGUCUACAGAAGUUCUCAAUGGUUUUCUUUAGUACUAAAUUUUUUUCCCUUGUGCUUAGAGCUUGAUAUCUCAUAACCAAAGCCUGACUUUGAAGUCAAAAUUUAAUUAUAUGGUCAUGCACACUUGAACACACAUUAGAGUGUCAGGUUGUUCUUUCAUAAAUUAUUAUCAUCAGAACUUAAGAGACAUUGUCCAAAAACCCAUUAUAGUUCAACAAGAAAUUGUAUAACUCAUUAGAUAGAAUACAAAACAUGUUCCUACCAUUCUUUUGAGUUUUCGAAGAGACUAGAAAAUCAUUACACUAAGUAUAAGAAAGUUCAAUGCCAACAUUUUCAGAAAACUUUCAUGAAUUAAAUAAAACUCUACAUCAUAAUGAUACAACAUCCUUUAGGAGAAUGUCAUGUAAGGCGCUCUUAUUUGUGUUUAUGUACUAUAAUAGCCCGAUUUUAACGGAAAUGAAAUGAAACUACAAAUUAUCAUUUGUGGUUUUCUAUUGUUUAGAUGCAUAUAUCAAGUAGCAUGGAUAAAAUUUGAAGUAUAAAAGGUCAAUGUAAUUUGUGUGGGCUUUAAGUCUGCCGAAAAUGUUAGCCGAUAAUUCAAGACAUUCUUGUAUGUAUUCUGUGCUCAUAGCUACCUCGAUUAGUCGCGUCAUGAACAAGAGUAAAAUGAUAAAUUGUCAAGUUUUCGCAAAGUUUUUAUAUACUAAUACCUACAUGAACUUUGAGAACCUCAAUAGACUUAAGAAAGUUUCGACUAAUCCACAUUUAACUGGUUUUGAGCUCUCUGAUUCUUCAAUUGGUUGAGGGAAACUCGCUCGACCCUAACUUCACAAGUCUGUUGAUUUCGACUAACAAAUUAUUUAUUUUUAAAUGUAAACAAUAUCAUAUCAUUAUUUAUCUAUAAUAUAUUAUGAUAUAUCUAUGCAUUUAUGAGGAGCCAUAUAACAACAUGAUAUAAUAACUCAUAAAAAAAAACUUUAUUGGCCAAAAUUACAUUACGUUCAUAUCUUAUCGCAUGUUUACAAAUCCUUGUAAAAUUUUGCUUUUGAGAAUAAUUAAAUAAAAUCAAACUGAGCCUUAAGACCACCCACAAUUGGUUCGCUUACUUCCAUAAACUUAGCAUUUACACUUUGUAUGGUUGAAGAAUGAAAGUAAAAGGAAAGAAAGAAAAAGGAAAGAUUGUAUGAUCGAGGAAAGAAAGAGAGUAGAAAGUGAGGGGAUUAUUUUAAUUGUUUGAUAUAAUCGAGAGUGGAGUAGAAAGUUAAAGGAAAGAAAGAUCUCUAUAUCAUAAAUUAUAUAUAAACACGUGUCUGGAAAAAAUGUGUGGUUAGAUUUUUUGAGUAGUUUAAUUGCAGAGACAAGACAUAAAAAUUAGGAAAUAAAUUAAAAAAAAUAAAGAGAGAGAUUAUGAAUCAAUAGUGAAAUAAAUAAAUUAGUAAAAAAAAAGUGAAAUAAUGAAAUAAAUAAAAGUAACAAGAGUUAGGGGUGUUUCGGACUUUUCAUACAGAACAUGGUGUUUCUCGUCCUUUCCGUGACCGUGCCCUUUCCGUGCAUCUACGAGAGGAAAGUUUUUUAAUGUUGGUCCCACAAAAUUCUUUCUUUCCUUUGCCUCUUAACACUGUGUUUGGUUGAAGAGAAAUAGUGAAGAGAGAAGUAUUAAAGAGAGAAAAAGAAGAGAAAGUCUUGAUUUCUGUCGUUUGAAAUGAAGAGAAACUGAGGAGAGAGAGAGAGAGAGAGAGAGAGAGAGAGUUUUUUUCAUGGGUCCCAGACCUUUUUCUGGUCUUCUCUAUCCAGCGAAAAAAGGAGGUGGAGAUGCCCAUGUUUUUUGAAAUUUCAUUUUUAUCCUUUUCUCAAUAAAACCGCCACGGAAGAAGAAAAGGUUUGGGCCUUUGUUUUUUUAUUAGUUUUACUUUUUCUGAAGGAAAUGUCUUUGUUUUUUUAGUUGAUUUGUGAAAUUAAAUCCUUAUCAAAUUAAGUUAAUUCAGGAAAAAUAAUUAAGUGUUAUCACUACUGCAAAUAUAAUGUCUGCACACAAAUUAUUUUAGAGAAAACUAAUAGAUUUAAUUACUUAAUUUCCUUAAAUUAAUAUAAUUAAUUAACUAAAAAUAAUUAUUUAAUUCAUAAAUUAAUAAAGAACAAAUUAAAAAUGAAAUUAAUUUUAUAAGUCUUUUUUAGUUUAGGGGUAUAUUUGUAUUUUUGAAAACAAUCAACACUUCUUUCUCUUGAUUUCUCUUCUAUCUCUCUCAUACCAAACAACCUAUCAAAUCUACUCUAUUUCUCACAUAUUUCUUUUUCACCAUACUCUUUCUCACCUAUUUCUCUCUUAUCACUUUCUCUCCACAACCAAACACACCUUAAGUGAGUUCCAAACGAAAGAAAGUGUUUCUUUCUCUCAACUUUCUCUCCUUCUCACAAACUUUCCAUAGAAACAAACAUGGCCUUAAUGAAACCUUUUUUUAAGUUAAUAAAAACGGUACUUAAUUAUUAAGGACCACCACCUAUUAAGUAUGACACAUAAAUAUUUGGGUGCCAUAGUUUUUUAGUGCCAUUGGUGACAUAGUUCAUUUUAGAUGAAAGAGAAUGAUUAAAAUAAAUUAUUUAGAUGAGAGAGAAUGAGUUGUUAAGAGAGAGAUAGACACAAAGUUACCUAUGGCACCAAUGGCACCAAAAAACUAUGGCACCCAAGUGCUACCCGUUGGUGAAAUAUAAUAAUAUAUACUCCAUUCGUCUUGGAUUAACUGAGUCAUUUGCUCAUUUCAUAUAUAUUAAGAAAAAUAUAUAAAUGAAGGAGAGAGAAAAACUGUUUUGUUGUUAGUUAUUGGUGCAUUCUCCACUAUCAUAAAUACAAAGUAGAAUAUAUUGAAUUUGGAGUGAUAAAAGUAGUGUUAAUUAGAGUUAUAAAGGAAAAAAAAUAAAAUGACUCAUAUGUUGAGACACUUUUUUUGCAAAUAACUCGGUUAUUAUGAGACGGAUGAAAUAGUUAUUGGCGGAUCCAUUUAUAAAAUUUGAUUAAAGUAUUAAGUUGGAGGAAGUGAAUGUUUUCCUUUAAAAUAUUAUGAAUGAAUGAUGUGUAGUAAUCACUCCAUCACAAAUUAUAAGUCACUUUUAAAAAAUUUAAUUCUUAAAAUAAUAAUUGGUUUUGAAAAAAAAAUUAUCUUAAAUUAUAAGCCACUUUACAAUACCCAUAAAAUAUUUCCUUAAAAAAAUACCCAUAAAAUAUUAAUGUUUCUUUUCCUUUUAUACACUUAACUAUUUACUACUCUCUAUCUCUUUAAUUCUUUAAUUUAUCUUUUAAGUUAUCAUUUUUUUAAGGAUACCAAUAGAUUCUCUAAGAAAAUUAAAUAAAUUCUUCUAUCUUAACUCUUAAGUUUUUGCAUGUAAUGUAUGACAUAAUUAUACUCCGGCAUUUUUCUAUGUGCUAUACUUUUCGUCUUAGAAAUUUCUUUGGUCAAAUAAAACGAUAUAAUAUCUUGCUAACUUUUCCUUUCACAUUUCUACUAUAAUUUUCUUUUCUUUUUUCCUCGUAUUUUCCUUUUACAACUUACAUAUUUUUCAACUCAAUAAUAAUUUCAUAAAAGAAGAAUAACAAAGGUAACAUCAUCUUCAAUGAAAAAAAGGUCGUUGACUAUUAUUGUCUUCGAGAGAUUGUCGAUAAAAUUCUCUAUCAAUCAUUGAUUAUUAUUACGUCAUUACGUCAUAUCACACGAACGUAGUUUCCAAUGUUCUUGCGCAGAACUUCAUAAAACUUUUCGUGGAAACAAGGUCGAUUGAUUGAAGAAAAAUAGGAGGUUGACUAUAAAUUAUAAAUUACUGGGAAAUGUUAACGAGUGCCUUCGAGACACUUUUAAGAUCCAUAAAUAGUAAAUAUUUUUAAAAAUACAUGUAAUUAUUGUUUAGAAAUUGAAAUAUUUAAUUUUAUUAAAGAGUAAUUGCUUAUUUUAAAAUGCUUAAAGAGUGCAUUGGGGACACUCGUUAAUAAGACCAUAAAUUAUACAGGUGUAUAUAAAUAUAAAAGGUAAAGCUACAGGUAAAUAAGACUCAAAAGCCAACAGCAUAUAAUUAGCAUUGUUUAUGAAUAUGAUAAUAACAUUGUUUCUGAUGGAGGGGGUCAUCAUGUAGGGGGUCAUCAUGGACAUGUUCAUCAUGGAGGGGGUUAUCAUGGAGGGGGUCAUCAUGGAGGUGGUGGUGGAGGUGGCGGCGGAGGGUGUUGAGAAGACGGUGGAGGCUUCUGAUAUAUAGUUGGCGGUAUUUUGUUGGAUUGUAUUUACUUAGUUGACAUGCCACUUUAAUUAUACCUCUUUAUCUUAUGUGAAAUAAAUCGUGUAGUACUUCUAUUCAAAUUCAUGUUAUACUAUCAUAUUUUUAUAAGUUUCUAAAUUUGGAUAGUGAAUAUAUGCUUUAGUAUGUUGUAUUUUUUGAAUAAAAUUUGUGUUUUGCCAUUUGAUUAGAUUAAAAUUGAAUUCAAAUAUCUGCUUUUAGCAAAAUGAUGGUGGGUUGGUAGGGCCACACAAAUCAGUAUGCAAGAUUUGUAGUGGUUUAAGUGCUCUUGAUGCCAUUAUGAUAUCAAGUAGUACAAAGGAUUAUUUGUAGGUACAUUAGGAGAACUCUAGAAUUAUUUCUAGGAUUUUCCUAAUUAUAAUUCACUUCUAGAUAAUUUCCACAUAUAUAUUUUUUAAUUAAAACAUAUAAUUUUUCCCUAAUUUUUCCUUUUAGAUUUCCC
Molecule: long non-coding RNA, 17028 nt
Filed under: Medicago truncatula (barrel medic)
Lineage: Eukaryota; Viridiplantae; Streptophyta; Magnoliopsida; Fabales; Fabaceae
Description: long non-coding RNA (MTRU_LNC005183)
Source: RNAcentral